GUUGAAUAUGCGCUGAAUUUUCCGGAAGGAAAAACGGGGGAACCAAACUUGGCCGAGUGCCAACGGGGUGAAUCGGAAGCGGGUCAGCAGACUCGAAAACCGUAGGGCUACCACAGCCCGAAUCCGCCAGCUAACCUCGUAAGCAAUAGUGGGAUAAUGA
Paenibacillus sp. IHB B 3415 is the source of this 160-nucleotide non-coding RNA. The record is from Rfam. Lineage: Bacteria; Bacillati; Bacillota; Bacilli; Caryophanales; Paenibacillaceae.